AGCCUUAGGAAUUUAAUCUUAGGUUAUACCUGCCCAAUGUAAUUUUUAUCAAUGGCCGCGGUACUUUGACCGUGCUAAGGUAGCGCAAUCAAUUGGCUUUUAAUUGUAGCCAGGUAUGAAUGGAGUUACGUGGUUUAGCUGUCUCCUAGUUAAUUUAUUGAAGUUACUAUUUAGGUGAAAAAGCCUAAAAACUAAAAAAGGACGAGAAGACCCUUAGAGUUUACCUUAUAUUGAAUAAGAAUAUUCAAAUCAGUUUUGUUGGGGCAACAUAGGAUCAAAAUUAUUUUAACAUCCUAAAUUAAAUAAGCCGAUAUUUAUAAGUCUGGAUAAACUACCUUAGGGAUAACAGCAUAAUUUUAUUAAUAAGUUUGUGACCUCGAUGUUGGACUAGGAAACUAAAAGGCUAGCCGCCUUUUAGGUAAGCUCUGUUCGAGCUAUUAUUCCU
RNAcentral lists this ribosomal RNA (445 nucleotides) under Ceratodoris pilosa. RNAcentral's name for it is "Okenia pilosa partial large subunit ribosomal RNA". It matches the Rfam family "Bacterial large subunit ribosomal RNA", at positions 1829 to 2597 of the family's 2925-position model. The record is from RNAcentral. Lineage: Eukaryota; Metazoa; Mollusca; Gastropoda; Nudibranchia; Goniodorididae.